AUGUUUUGUGAAUUUAUUAGGCAAUCGAGGAAUUGGAAUUCUGCCAAGAAAUCUAGGAGCAGAAGAAGAUGUAUGCAAGGGACUUGGAGACGAGGCAAUGGUGCGCAGGCGAGAAAAUUAUGUUCUGAUUGGUUAGGAUUGGGGUUCGACUGCUCUUGUGUUUAUUAUAUCAAAGUUGGUUGCAUGAGUCACUUCACGAUGGUCANNNNNNNNNNUUUUUUUUUUGGUUCACGUUUUGUUACUGUUUUCCAUUCGGGAUUUCAUGGUGAGCAAACCUACCAUUUGCAGUUGUUUGUUUCAGAAAUUCAUGUCCUGACUUCAAAUUUUGGUCGUAAGGUAAAUCCUGCCAACAAGUCGAUGCUAUGGGUUUACUAG
Molecule: ribosomal RNA, 375 nt
Filed under: Triticum aestivum (bread wheat)
Lineage: Eukaryota; Viridiplantae; Streptophyta; Magnoliopsida; Poales; Poaceae
Description: partial small subunit ribosomal RNA
Source: RNAcentral